This 484-nucleotide ribosomal RNA is filed under the name uncultured bacterium. RNAcentral describes it as "partial 16S ribosomal RNA". It matches the Rfam family "Bacterial small subunit ribosomal RNA", at positions 30 to 507 of the family's 1533-position model. The record is from RNAcentral.
AUUGAACGCUGGCGGCAGGCCUAACACAUGCAAGUCGAGCGGAUGAAGGGGGCUUGCUCCUGUCUUCAGCGGCGGACGGGUGAGUAAUUCCUAGGAAUCUGCCUUGUCGUGGGGGAUAACGUCCGGAAACGGGCGCUAAUACCGCAUACGUCCUGAGUGUGAAAGUGGGGGAUCUUCGGACCUCACGCUAUCAGAUGUCCCUAGGUCGGAUUAGCUAGUUGGUGGGGUAAAGGCCUACCAAGGCGACGAUCCGUAACUGGUCUGAGAGGAUGAUCAGUCACACUGGAACUGAGACACGGUCCAGACUCCUACGGGAGGCAGCAGUGGGGAAUAUUGGACAAAGGGCGAAAGCCUGAUGCAGCAAAGCCGCGUGUGUGAAGAAGGUCUUCGGAUUGUAAAGCACUGUAAGUUGGGAGGAAGGGAAGUAAGUUAAUACCUGGCUGUUUUGACGUUACCAACAGAAUAAGCACCGGCUAACUUCGUG